GACGAACGCUGGCGGCGUGCUUAACACAUGCAAGUCGAACGCGCCUGUCCUCUGGGUUUCUGGGGGGUGGGUGAGUGGCGAACGGGUGAGUAACACGUGAGUAACCUGCCCCCUUCUUCGGGAUAACGGUCUGAAAGGGCUGCUAAUACCGGGUAUUCACUGGUCUCCGCAUGGGGUCUGGUGGAAAGGGUUUUUUCUGGUGGGGGAUGGGCUCGCGGCCUAUCAGCUUGUUGGUGGGGUGAUGGCCCACCAAGGCUUUGACGGGUAGCCGGCCUGAGAGGGUGACCGGUCACAUUGGGACUGAGAUACGGCCCAGACUCCUACGGGAGGCAGCAGUGGGGAAUAUUGCACAAUGGGCGAAAGCCUGAUGCAGCGACGCCGCGUGAGGGAUGGAGGCCUUCGGGUUGUGAACCUCUUUCGCCCGUGGUCAAGCCGCGACGUGGGUCGUGGUGAGGGAGUGGGAAAGAAGC
Molecule: ribosomal RNA, 470 nt
Filed under: Actinomyces sp. oral taxon 178
Lineage: Bacteria; Bacillati; Actinomycetota; Actinomycetes; Actinomycetales; Actinomycetaceae
Description: bacterial SSU rRNA
Rfam family: Bacterial small subunit ribosomal RNA
Source: RNAcentral